AGGUUUCGUUUUUGUGCCUCCAACCAGUUGCUGUUUUUUCUUCAGUUCAACCAGCACGGUUCCUACCAUCCAAGAUGCGCCAGCCUAUCUGCUUGAUUGUUAUAUUCUUGUGUGGAUUCCAUCUCUUCUCAAGUGUACAAGGAGGCUCAUGUUCAAGUUCUGAGCCUACACGAAAACCUACUGACCCCUCGUGUGUUGGUGAAACUUGCGGGCCUGAGAGCUGCCCAAGUCCAUGCACAAGGUGCGUCAGCACUAAUCCAUGGUGUAAGGGAUACUGUUACAUGAACUAGCCAUCGGGAUGCACAGACCACCACGAAAAUCUGGUGAUCUGGCGAAUUACCA
Rhipicephalus sanguineus (brown dog tick) is the source of this 342-nucleotide long non-coding RNA. RefSeq lists it as uncharacterized. Lineage: Eukaryota; Metazoa; Arthropoda; Arachnida; Ixodida; Ixodidae. The record is from RefSeq and is a predicted model, not a curated record. The transcript has 3 exons.